Molecule: ribosomal RNA, 254 nt
Filed under: uncultured bacterium
Lineage: Bacteria
Description: partial 16S ribosomal RNA
Rfam family: Bacterial small subunit ribosomal RNA
Source: RNAcentral
UACAGAGGGUGCGAGCGUUGUUCGGAAUUACUGGGCGUAAAGCGCGCGCAGGCGGCUCUCUAAGUCUACGGGUGAAAGACCGGGGCUCAACCCCGUGUCAGCCCGGGAUACUGGGGAGCUAGGGACAUGUAGGGGCGAGCGGAAUUCCGGGUGUAGCGGUGGAAUGCGUAGAGAUCCGGAAGAACACCGGGGGCGAAGGCGGCUCGCUGGGCAUGGUCCGACGCUGAGGCGCGAAAGCUAGGGGAGCGAACAGG